Molecule: ribosomal RNA, 253 nt
Filed under: uncultured bacterium
Lineage: Bacteria
Description: partial 16S ribosomal RNA
Rfam family: Bacterial small subunit ribosomal RNA
Source: RNAcentral
UACGGGGGGGGCACGCGUUGUUCGGAAUUACUGGGCGUAAAGGGCUCGUAGGCGGCCAACUAAGUCAGACGUGAAAUCCCUCGGCUUAACCGGGGAACUGCGUCUGAUACUGGAUGGCUUGAAUCCGGGAGAGGGAUGCGGAAUUCCAGGUGUAGCGGUGAAAUGCGUAGAUAUCUGGAGGAACACCGGUGGCGAAGGCGGCAUCCUGGACCGGCAUUGACGCUGAGGAGCGAAAGCCAGGGGAGCAAGCGGG